GCCAGGUGUGGUGCCUUGCACCUGUAGUCCCAGCUACUUGGGGGGCUGAGGUGGGAGGAUCACUUGAGCCCAGGAAGUCAGGGCUGCAGUGAGCUGAGAUGGUGAGGCUGCACUCCAGCCUGGGUAACAGAGUGAGACCCUGUCUCAA
Molecule: non-coding RNA, 148 nt
Filed under: Gorilla gorilla gorilla (western lowland gorilla)
Lineage: Eukaryota; Metazoa; Chordata; Mammalia; Primates; Hominidae
Source: Rfam by way of RNAcentral